AGAGUUUGAUCCUGGCUCAGGACGAACGCUGGCGGCGUGCCUAAUACAUGCAAGUAGAACGCUGAAGAGAGGAGCUUGCUCUUCUUGGAUGAGUUGCGAACGGGUGAGUAACGCGUAGGUAACCUGCCUUGUAGCGGGGGAUAACUGUUGGAAACGAUAGCUAAUACCGCAUAACAAUGGAUGACCCAUGUCAUUUAUUUGAAAGGGGCAAAUGCUCCACUACAAGAUGGACCUGCGUUGUAUUAGCUAGUAGGUGAGGUAACGGCUCACCUAGGCGACGAUACAUAGCCGACCUGAGAGGGUGAUCGGCCACACUGGGACUGAGACACGGCCCAGACUCCUACGGGAGGCAGCAGUAGGGAAUCUUCGGCAAUGGGGGCAACCCUGACCGAGCAACGCCGCGUGAGUGAAGAAGGUUUUCGGAUCGUAAAGCUCUGUUGUAAGUCAAGAACGAGUGUGAGAGUGGAAAGUUCACACUGUGACGGUAGCUUACCAGAAAGGGACGGCUAACUACGUGCCAGCAGCCGCGGUAAUACGUAGGUCCCGAGCGUUGUCCGGAUUUAUUGGGCGUAAAGCGAGCGCAGGCGGUUUGAUAAGUCUGAAGUUAAAGGCUGUGGCUCAACCAUAGUUCGCUUUGGAAACUGUCAAACUUGAGUGCAGAAGGGGAGAGUGGAAUUCCAUGUGUAGCGGUGAAAUGCGUAGAUAUAUGGAGGAACACCGGUGGCGAAAGCGGCUCUCUGGUCUGUAACUGACGCUGAGGCUCGAAAGCGUGGGGAGCGAACAGGAUUAGAUACCCUGGUAGUCCACGCCGUAAACGAUGAGUGCUAGGUGUUGGAUCCUUCCCGGGAUUCAGUGCCGCAGCUAACGCAUUAAGCACUCCGCCUGGGGAGUACGACCGCAAGGUUGAAACUCAAAGGAAUUGACGGGGGCCCGCACAAGCGGUGGAGCAUGUGGUUUAAUUCGAAGCAACGCGAAGAACCUUACCAGGUCUUGACAUCCCGAUGCUAUUUCUAGAGAUAGAAAGUUACUUCGGUACAUCGGUGACAGGUGGUGCAUGGUUGUCGUCAGCUCGUGUCGUGAGAUGUUGGGUUAAGUCCCGCAACGAGCGCAACCCCUAUUGUUAGUUGCCAUCAUUCAGUUGGGCACUCUAGCGAGACUGCCGGUAAUAAACCGGAGGAAGGUGGGGAUGACGUCACAUCAUCAUGCCCCUUAUGACCUGGGCUACACACGUGCUACAAUGGUUGGUACAACGAGUUGCGAGUCGGUGACGGCAAGCUAAUCUCUUAAAGCCAAUCUCAGUUCGGAUUGUAGGCUGCAACUCGCCUACAUGAAGUCGGAAUCGCUAGUAAUCGCGGAUCAGCACGCCGCGGUGAAUACGUUCCCGGGCCUUGUACACACCGCCCGCCACACCACGAGAGUUUGUAACACCCGAAGUCGGUGAGGUAACCUUUUGGAGCCAGCCGCCUAAGGUGGGAUAGAUGAUUGGGGUGAAGUCGUAACAAGGUA
Molecule: ribosomal RNA, 1506 nt
Filed under: metagenome
Description: bacterial SSU rRNA
Rfam family: Bacterial small subunit ribosomal RNA
Source: RNAcentral